RNAcentral lists this ribosomal RNA (445 nucleotides) under uncultured Bacillota bacterium. RNAcentral describes it as "bacterial SSU rRNA". It matches the Rfam family "Bacterial small subunit ribosomal RNA", at positions 917 to 1359 of the family's 1533-position model. The record is from RNAcentral. Lineage: Bacteria; Bacillati; Bacillota.
GGGCCCGCACAAGCGGUGGAGCAUGUGGAUUAAUUCGAAGCAACGCGAAGAACCUUACCAAGGCUUGACAUCCCUCUGAAUACUUAAGAAAUUAGGUAGGCCCUUCGGGGACAGAGGAGACAGGUGGUGCAUGGUUGUCGUCAGCUCGUGUCGUGAGAUGUUGGGUUAAGUCCCGCAACGAGCGCAACCCUUAUGUUCAGUUGCCAACAGAUAAUGCUGGGCACACUGGAGAGACUGCCGUGGAUAACACGGAGGAAGGUGGGGAUGACGUCAAAUCAUCAUGCCCUUUAUGCCUUGGGCCUCACACGUGCUACAAUGGCUCAUACAAAGCGAAGCAAGGCAGUGAUGCGGAGCAAAACGCAAAAAUGAGUCUCAGUUCGGAUUGAAGUCUGCAACCCGACUUCAUGAAGCUGGAAUCGCUAGUAAUCGACGAAUCAGCAUGUCG